AUGUGGUUUAAUUCGAUGAUACGCGAGAACCUUACCUGGGCUCAAAUGUAUGUUGACGUAUUCUGAAAGGGAUACUUCUUCGGACAAUAUACAAGGUGCUGCAUGGUUGUCGUCAGCUCGUGCCGUGAGGUGUCGGGUUAAGUCCCAUAACGAGCGCAACCCCUAUCAUUAGUUGCCAUCAGGUCAAGCUGGGGACUCUAAUGAAACUGCCUACGCAAGUAGUGAGGAAGGUGGGGAUGACGUCAAAUCAGCACGGCCCUUACGUCCAGGGCUACACACGUGCUACAAUGGCCGGUACAAAGGGCAGCUACCUGGUGACAGGAUGCUAAUCUCAAAAGCCGGUCUCAGUUCGGAUCGGAGUCUGCAACCCGACUCCGUGAAGCUGGAAUCGCUAGUAAUCACGCAUCAGCCAUGGCGCGGUGAAUACGUUCCCGGGCCUU
This 440-nucleotide ribosomal RNA is filed under the name uncultured Sphingobacteriales bacterium. RNAcentral describes it as "bacterial SSU rRNA". It matches the Rfam family "Bacterial small subunit ribosomal RNA", at positions 939 to 1382 of the family's 1533-position model. The record is from RNAcentral. Lineage: Bacteria; Pseudomonadati; Bacteroidota; Sphingobacteriia; Sphingobacteriales.